GUUGCAAACUUCUUCGUCAGUGAGGCUAGGAAGUCUUUGAACAGGCCACCUGCUCGUAAAGUGCUUGACAAUUUGAUUUACAAUUACAGUCCUACAUAUUGUGGGAAGGCUGGGAAGGGAUAUGAUGAAGUGUAUAUAUUUGCAGAACCUUGAACUCUAGAUUUUAUGCAGGUGUAGGGAGGCAUUGUAAAUUGCAAUACUUGAAAAUUGGUAUGUAAAUUGUAAGAUUGUUGACAAUGAACAGGGCUUUAUGAAUAUGCUGGACUAAACAGCUUGUGUGGGCAUUUUCUAUAAUAUAUUCGGG
RNAcentral lists this unclassified non-coding RNA (304 nucleotides) under Hevea brasiliensis (rubber tree). Lineage: Eukaryota; Viridiplantae; Streptophyta; Magnoliopsida; Malpighiales; Euphorbiaceae. The record is from RNAcentral.